AUUCUGCCCAUGCGGGGAAGGAUGAGAAGCUUCGACCAAGGUUCGACUCGAGCGCCAGCGAGAGAGCGUUGCCGCAGGCAACGACCCGAAGGGCGAAGCGCGCAGCGCUGAGU
This 113-nucleotide small RNA is filed under the name Escherichia coli. RNAcentral's name for it is "partial RtT sRNA". It matches the Rfam family "RtT RNA", at positions 1 to 111 of the family's 130-position model. From Rfam's summary of the family: This family represents a bacterial cis-regulatory element known as RtT RNA. Lineage: Bacteria; Pseudomonadati; Pseudomonadota; Gammaproteobacteria; Enterobacterales; Enterobacteriaceae. The record is from RNAcentral.